Molecule: ribosomal RNA, 425 nt
Filed under: uncultured bacterium
Lineage: Bacteria
Description: bacterial SSU rRNA
Rfam family: Bacterial small subunit ribosomal RNA
Source: RNAcentral
AGGGAAUAUUGCGCAAUGGGCGAAAGCCUGACGCAGCCACGCCGCGUGGGGGACGAAGGCCUUCGGGUCGUAAACCCCUUUUCUGAGGGAAGAACAAGCCGGGGAGGUAAUGCCCCGGCCCUGACGGUACCUCAGGAAUAAGCAACGGCUAACUCCGUGCCAGCAGCCGCGGUAAUACGGAGGUUGCGAGCGUUGUUCGGAAUUACUGGGCGUAAAGGGGGCACAGGCGGCCCGGCAAGUGGAAAGUGGAAUCCCGGAGCUCAACUUCGGACGUGCUUUCCAAACUGCCAGGCUUGAGUCCGGGAGAGGAAGAUGGAAUUCCAGGUGUAGCGGUGAAAUGCGUAGAUAUCUGGAGGAACACCAAUGGCGAAAGCAAUCUUCUGGCCCGGUACUGACGCUCAGGCCCGAAAGCGUGGGGAGCGAAC